UUACGGUCACAUCAUGUUGAAACCCCAUUUCCCGUACGAUUACCGAGUUAAGCAACGUCGUGCUUGGUCAGUAUCUAGAUGGGUGACCGCUUGGGAAAACUAGGUGCUGUAAGC
Acanthosepion pharaonis is the source of this 114-nucleotide non-coding RNA. The record is from the annotation of a GenBank genome assembly. Lineage: Eukaryota; Metazoa; Mollusca; Cephalopoda; Sepiida; Sepiidae.